CCCUUAGAUGUUCUGGGCCGCACGCGCGCUACACUGAUGCAUUCAACGAGUUUCUUCCUGGUCCGAGAGGAAUGGGUAACCUUUUGAAAGUGCAUCGUGAUAGGGAUAGACUAUUGCAAUUAUUGGUCUUCAACGAGGAAUUCCUAGUAGACGUAGUUCAUCAGACUGCAUCGAUUACGUCCCUGCCCUUUGUACACACCGCCCGUCGCUCCUACCGAUUGAAUGCUCAGGUGAGCCAUUCGGACUUUCAUCAUGCUAGUUUCCAGUUUUGAUGAAGGAAAGUCUUGCGAACCUUAUCAUUUAGAGGAAGGAGAAGUCGUAACA
RNAcentral lists this ribosomal RNA (324 nucleotides) under uncultured eukaryote. RNAcentral's name for it is "partial 18S ribosomal RNA". It matches the Rfam family "Eukaryotic small subunit ribosomal RNA", at positions 1470 to 1796 of the family's 1831-position model. The record is from RNAcentral.